GAACACCGACAGGUUGAACGCAUAUUGCACAUCGUACAACAGUACGAUGUACACAUUUUUGAGUGCC
This 67-nucleotide ribosomal RNA is filed under the name Culex erraticus. RNAcentral describes it as "partial 5.8S ribosomal RNA". Lineage: Eukaryota; Metazoa; Arthropoda; Insecta; Diptera; Culicidae. The record is from RNAcentral.